This 521-nucleotide ribosomal RNA is filed under the name uncultured bacterium. RNAcentral describes it as "partial 16S ribosomal RNA". The record is from RNAcentral.
GAUUGGUUACCUUGUUACGACUUCACCCCAGUCAUGAAUCACACCGUGGUAAUCGUCCCCCCUAAGGUUAGACUAACUACUUCUGGUGCAACCCACUCCCAUGGUGUGACGGGCGGUGUGUACAAGGCCCGGGAACGUAUUCACCGCAACAUUCUGAUUUGCGAUUACUAGCGAUUCCGACUUCACGCAGUCGAGUUGCAGACUGCGAUCCGGACUACGACCGGCUUUAUGGGAUUGGCUCCCCCUCGCGGGUUGGCUGCCCUUUGUACCGGCCAUUGUAUGACGUGUGUAGCCCCACCUAUAAGGGCCAUGAGGACUUGACGUCAUCCCCACCUUCCUCCGGUUUGUCACCGGCAGUCUCAUUAGAGUGCCCUUUCGUAGCAACUAAUGACAAGGGUUGCGCUCGUUGCGGGACUUAACCCAACAUCUCACGACACGAGCUGACGGCAGCCAUGCAGCACCUGUGUGCAGGUUCUCUUUCGAGCACUCCUCUAUCUCUAAAGGAUUCCUGCCAUGUCAAA